This 115-nucleotide ribosomal RNA is filed under the name uncultured bacterium. RNAcentral describes it as "partial 16S ribosomal RNA". It matches the Rfam family "Bacterial small subunit ribosomal RNA", at positions 1385 to 1500 of the family's 1533-position model. The record is from RNAcentral.
ACACACCGCCCGUCACACCAUGAGAGUUGGAGAUACCCGAAGCCUAUGAGCUAACUUUUAGAGGCAGUAGUCGAAGGUGGAAUCAAUGAUUGGGGUGAAGUCGUAACAAGGUAGC